UACGUAGGUGGCAAGCGUUGUCCGGAUUUACUGGGCGUAAAGAGCGCGCAGGCGGUCAGAUAAGUCGAAUGUGAAAGCCCCCGGCUUAACUGGGGAGGGUCAUUCGAUACUGUUCGACUCGAAGGCAGGAGAGGGAAGCGGAAUUCCCGGUGUAGUGGUGAAAUGCGUAGAUAUCGGGAGGAACACCAGUGGCGAAGGCGGCUUCCUGGCCUGUUCUUGACGCUGAGGCGCGAAAGCUAGGGGAGCAAACAGG
Molecule: ribosomal RNA, 253 nt
Filed under: uncultured bacterium
Lineage: Bacteria
Description: partial 16S ribosomal RNA
Rfam family: Bacterial small subunit ribosomal RNA
Source: RNAcentral